RNAcentral lists this long non-coding RNA (364 nucleotides) under Sorghum bicolor (sorghum). RNAcentral's name for it is "long non-coding RNA (SBIC_LNC001492)". The record is from RNAcentral. Lineage: Eukaryota; Viridiplantae; Streptophyta; Magnoliopsida; Poales; Poaceae.
UGGUGGACGGGCGCGAUAGGCGCGGUCAAGAAGCGGCAGGACGAGCAGGCGGCGGCCGCGGAGCCCUCGUACCAGAGCGUGGCCCUCGUCGUCGGAUCCACCGGCAUCGUCGGCACCUCCCUCCUCGACAUCCUCCCGCUCGCCGACACCCCGGCCGGUCCAUGGAAGGUCUACGCCGUCUCGCGCCGCCCGCUCCCGCCCUGGUCCCCGGCGCCCUCCCCCGCCGUCACCCACCUCCACCUCGACCUCGCCGACGCCGCCGCCGUCCACGACGCCCUCACACCCCUCACCGACGUCACCCACGUCUUCUUCGUCGCGUGGACCAGCCGCGCCACCGAGGCGGAGAACCGGGAGGCCAACGCCG